Molecule: ribosomal RNA, 1542 nt
Filed under: Salmonella enterica subsp. enterica serovar Senftenberg
Lineage: Bacteria; Pseudomonadati; Pseudomonadota; Gammaproteobacteria; Enterobacterales; Enterobacteriaceae
Also listed under: 1 other name
Description: bacterial SSU rRNA
Rfam family: Bacterial small subunit ribosomal RNA
Source: RNAcentral
AAAUUGAAGAGUUUGAUCAUGGCUCAGAUUGAACGCUGGCGGCAGGCCUAACACAUGCAAGUCGAACGGUAACAGAAAGCAGCUUGCUGCUUUGCUGACGAGUGGCGGACGGGUGAGUAAUGUCUGGGAAACUGCCUGAUGGAGGGGGAUAACUACUGGAAACGGUGGCUAAUACCGCAUAACGUCGCAAGACCAAAGAGGGGGACCUUCGGGCCUCUUGCCAUCAGAUGUGCCCAGAUGGGAUUAGCUUGUUGGUGAGGUAACGGCUCACCAAGGCGACGAUCCCUAGCUGGUCUGAGAGGAUGACCAGCCACACUGGAACUGAGACACGGUCCAGACUCCUACGGGAGGCAGCAGUGGGGAAUAUUGCACAAUGGGCGCAAGCCUGAUGCAGCCAUGCCGCGUGUAUGAAGAAGGCCUUCGGGUUGUAAAGUACUUUCAGCGGGGAGGAAGGUGUUGUGGUUAAUAACCGCAGCAAUUGACGUUACCCGCAGAAGAAGCACCGGCUAACUCCGUGCCAGCAGCCGCGGUAAUACGGAGGGUGCAAGCGUUAAUCGGAAUUACUGGGCGUAAAGCGCACGCAGGCGGUCUGUCAAGUCGGAUGUGAAAUCCCCGGGCUCAACCUGGGAACUGCAUUCGAAACUGGCAGGCUUGAGUCUUGUAGAGGGGGGUAGAAUUCCAGGUGUAGCGGUGAAAUGCGUAGAGAUCUGGAGGAAUACCGGUGGCGAAGGCGGCCCCCUGGACAAAGACUGACGCUCAGGUGCGAAAGCGUGGGGAGCAAACAGGAUUAGAUACCCUGGUAGUCCACGCCGUAAACGAUGUCUACUUGGAGGUUGUGCCCUUGAGGCGUGGCUUCCGGAGCUAACGCGUUAAGUAGACCGCCUGGGGAGUACGGCCGCAAGGUUAAAACUCAAAUGAAUUGACGGGGGCCCGCACAAGCGGUGGAGCAUGUGGUUUAAUUCGAUGCAACGCGAAGAACCUUACCUGGUCUUGACAUCCACGGAAGUUUUCAGAGAUGAGAAUGUGCCUUCGGGAACCGUGAGACAGGUGCUGCAUGGCUGUCGUCAGCUCGUGUUGUGAAAUGUUGGGUUAAGUCCCGCAACGAGCGCAACCCUUAUCCUUUGUUGCCAGCGGUUAGGCCGGGAACUCAAAGGAGACUGCCAGUGAUAAACUGGAGGAAGGUGGGGAUGACGUCAAGUCAUCAUGGCCCUUACGACCAGGGCUACACACGUGCUACAAUGGCGCAUACAAAGAGAAGCGACCUCGCGAGAGCAAGCGGACCUCAUAAAGUGCGUCGUAGUCCGGAUUGGAGUCUGCAACUCGACUCCAUGAAGUCGGAAUCGCUAGUAAUCGUGGAUCAGAAUGCCACGGUGAAUACGUUCCCGGGCCUUGUACACACCGCCCGUCACACCAUGGGAGUGGGUUGCAAAAGAAGUAGGUAGCUUAACCUUCGGGAGGGCGCUUACCACUUUGUGAUUCAUGACUGGGGUGAAGUCGUAACAAGGUAACCGUAGGGGAACCUGCGGUUGGAUCACCUCCUUA